RNAcentral lists this ribosomal RNA (432 nucleotides) under Bacillus sp. oral taxon B77. Its description in RNAcentral is "bacterial SSU rRNA". It matches the Rfam family "Bacterial small subunit ribosomal RNA", at positions 28 to 432 of the family's 1533-position model. The record is from RNAcentral. Lineage: Bacteria; Bacillati; Bacillota; Bacilli; Caryophanales; Bacillaceae.
GACGAACGCUGGCGGCGUGCCUAAUACAUGCAAGUCGAGCGCAGGAAGUCAUCCGAACCCUUCGGGGGGACGGUGACGGAAUGAGCGGCGGACGGGUGAGUAACACGUAAAGAACCUGCCCUCAGGUCUGGGAUAACCACGAGAAAUCGGGGCUAAUACCGGAUGGGUCAUCGGACCGCAUGGUCCGAGGAUGAAAGGCGCUUCGGCGUCGCCUGGGGAUGGCUUUGCGGUGCAUUAGCUAGUUGGUGGGGUAACGGCCCACCAAGGCGACGAUGCAUAGCCGACCUGAGAGGGUGAUCGGCCACACUGGGACUGAGACACGGCCCAGACUCCUACGGGAGGCAGCAGUAGGGAAUCUUCCACAAUGGACGAAAAGUCUGAUGGAGCAAACGCCGCGUGAAACGAUGAAGGGCCCUCGGGUUCGUAAAAUUU